Molecule: long non-coding RNA, 480 nt
Organism: Empidonax traillii (willow flycatcher)
Lineage: Eukaryota; Metazoa; Chordata; Aves; Passeriformes; Tyrannidae
Exons: 3
Source: RefSeq, a predicted model, not a curated record
CAAAUCCUCUACAUGAGUGCAAUAAGGUGGGGGAGAGGAGGAAAAAGCAAACCAAAGUGUUUCAUAUCCUCCCUUUUAGACAAUUUAACACACGCACACAAAAAAAAAAGAAAAAAAAAAAAAAAAGGAAAAAAUGAAAAGAAAAAGAAACAAAAUGUUCUUGCAACAUCUGCAUAAGACAUCACAGCCAACAGCUGCUAUUGGUUUAGGAGAGAAGACAGAGAACUUUGCCCACCAAUUCUUGGCCCCCUUGACUUUGUUGGCGUGACCUUGUGGAAAGCUAUGGCUUAUUUCAAGCCUCCCGUGACUGUGGUGGUAAAAAUUCACAGCCAGUAGAAUCAUCCCUUCUGAAAUGACUAAGGUUUACACUUGCUUUUGGUUUUUUUUUCAUUUGUUGGUUUUUGUUUUUGUUUUUUUCCACUCAAACCAGUAUAGUCUCUAUGCGUAAGGUUUACCAAACCUCACGUUUUGUCUUUUUUA